GCUUGGUUGGCGGAACGGCAGACGCGGUGGACUCAAAAUCCACUAUUGGUGACAAUUUGAGGGUUCAAGUCCCUUGCCAAGCACCA
This 86-nucleotide transfer RNA is filed under the name Mycoplasmataceae bacterium. Its description in RNAcentral is "tRNA-Leu". It matches the Rfam family "tRNA". Rfam says of the family: Transfer RNA (tRNA) molecules are approximately 80 nucleotides in length. Their secondary structure includes four short double-helical elements and three loops (D, anti-codon, and T loops). Lineage: Bacteria; Bacillati; Mycoplasmatota; Mollicutes; Mycoplasmatales; Mycoplasmataceae. The record is from RNAcentral.